This 78-nucleotide transfer RNA is filed under the name Oceanicaulis alexandrii. RNAcentral's name for it is "tRNA-Pro". It matches the Rfam family "tRNA". From Rfam's summary of the family: Transfer RNA (tRNA) molecules are approximately 80 nucleotides in length. Their secondary structure includes four short double-helical elements and three loops (D, anti-codon, and T loops). Further hydrogen bonds mediate the characteristic L-shaped molecular structure. tRNAs have two regions of fundamental functional importance: the anti-codon, which is responsible for specific mRNA codon recognition, and the 3' end, to which the tRNAs corresponding amino acid is attached (by aminoacyl-tRNA synthetases). tRNAs cope with the degeneracy of the genetic code in two manners: having more than one tRNA (with a specific anti-codon) for a particular amino acid; and 'wobble' base-pairing, i.e. permitting non-standard base-pairing at the 3rd anti-codon position. The record is from RNAcentral. Lineage: Bacteria; Pseudomonadati; Pseudomonadota; Alphaproteobacteria; Maricaulales; Maricaulaceae. RNAcentral also lists the same sequence under 2 other names.
CGGAACGUGGCGCAGCCCGGUUAGCGCACUGGUCUGGGGGACCAGGGGUCGCGAGUUCGAAUCUCGCCGUUCCGACCA